UACGAAGGGGGCUAGCGUUGCUCGGAAUCACUGGGCGUAAAGCGCACGUAGGCGGAUCGUUAAGUCAGGGGUGAAAUCCUGGAGCUCAACUCCAGAACUGCCUUUGAUACUGAGGAUCUUGAGUUCGGGAGAGGUGAGUGGAACUGCGAGUGUAGAGGUGAAAUUCGUAGAUAUUCGCAAGAACACCAGUGGCGAAGGCGGCUCACUGGCCCGAUACUGACGCUGAGGCACGAAAGCGUGGGGAG
RNAcentral lists this ribosomal RNA (245 nucleotides) under uncultured bacterium. Its description in RNAcentral is "partial 16S ribosomal RNA". It matches the Rfam family "Bacterial small subunit ribosomal RNA", at positions 524 to 768 of the family's 1533-position model. The record is from RNAcentral.